RNAcentral lists this ribosomal RNA (1018 nucleotides) under Rosellinia necatrix. RNAcentral describes it as "partial large subunit ribosomal RNA". It matches the Rfam family "Eukaryotic large subunit ribosomal RNA", at positions 46 to 1098 of the family's 3401-position model. Lineage: Eukaryota; Fungi; Ascomycota; Sordariomycetes; Xylariales; Xylariaceae. The record is from RNAcentral.
UCUUGCGGGAGAGACCAACAGGGAUUGCCUCAGUAACGGCGAGUGAAGCGGCAACAGCUCAAAUUUGAAAUCUGGCCCUCGGGUCCGAGUUGUAAUUUGUAGAGGAUGCUUUUGGCGCGGUGCCUUCCGAGUUCCCUGGAACGGGACGCCUUAGAGGGUGAGAGCCCCGUACGGUUGGACACCAAGCCUCUGUAAAGCUCCUUCGACGAGUCGAGUAGUUUGGGAAUGCUGCUCUAAAUGGGAGGUAAAUUUCUUCUAAAGCUAAAUAUUGGCCAGAGACCGAUAGCGCACAAGUAGAGUGAUCGAAAGAUGAAAAGCACUUUGAAAAGAGGGUUAAAUAGCACGUGAAAUUGUUGAAAGGGAAGCGUUUGCGACCAGACCUUUUCCUGGCGGAUCAUCCGGUGUUCUCACCGGUGCACUUCGCCAGGUCGAGGCCAGCAUCGGUUUCCGCGGGGGGAUAAAAGCUCUGGGAACGUAGCUCCUCCGGGAGUGUUAUAGCCCUCUGCACAAUACCCCCGCGGGGACCGAGGACCGCGCUCUAAGCAAGGAUGCUGGCGUAAUGGUUGUCAACGACCCGUCUUGAAACACGGACCAAGGAGUCGAACAUUUGUGCGAGUGUUUGGGUGUCAAACCCUCACGCGUAAUGAAGGUGAACGUAGGUGAGAGCCCUUACGGGUGCAUCAUCGACCGAUCCUGAUGUCUUCGGAUGGAUUUGAGUAAGAGCAUAACUGUUCGGACCCGAAAGAUGGUGAACUAUGCGUGGAUAGGGUGAAGCCAGAGGAACUCUGGUGGAGGCUCGCAGCGGUUCUGACGUGCAAAUCGAUCGUCAAAUCUGCGCAUGGGGGCGAAAGACUUAUCGAACCAUCUAGUAGCUGGUUACCGCCGAAGUUUCCCUCAGAUAGCAGUGUUGUUCUUCAGUUUUAUGAGGUAAAGCGAAUGAUUAGGGACUCGGGGCGCUUUUUUGCCUUCAUCCAUUCUCAAACUUUAAAUAUGUAAGAAGCCCUUGUUACUUAAUUGG